RNAcentral lists this ribosomal RNA (627 nucleotides) under uncultured Russulaceae. RNAcentral describes it as "LSU rRNA". It matches the Rfam family "Eukaryotic large subunit ribosomal RNA", at positions 47 to 649 of the family's 3401-position model. Lineage: Eukaryota; Fungi; Basidiomycota; Agaricomycetes; Russulales; Russulaceae. The record is from RNAcentral.
UAAGCGGAGGAAAAGAAACUAACAAGGAUUCCCCUAGUAACUGCGAGUGAAGCGGGAAAAGCUCAAAUUUAAAAUCUGGCGGUCUUUGGCCGUCCGAGUUGUAAUUUAGAGAAGCGUCUUCCGCGCUGGACCGUGCACAAGUCUCCUGGAAUGGAGCGUCAUAGAGGGUGAGAAUCCCGUCUUUGGCACGGAUGCCUGGUGCUUCUGUGAUGCGCUCUCGAAGAGUCGAGUUGUUUGGGAAUGCAGCUCAAAAUGGGUGGUGAACUCCAUCUAAAGCUAAAUAUUGGCGAGAGACCGAUAGCGAACAAGUACCGUGAGGGAAAGAUGAAAAGCACUUUGGAAAGAGAGUGAAACAGUACGUGAAAUUGUUGAAAGGGAAACGCUUGAAGUCAGUCGCGUCGACCGAGACUCAGCCUUGCCUUGGCUUGGUGUACUUCUCGGCCCGACGGGUCAGCAUCAAUUUUGCCCCUCGGAUAAUGGCAAGGGAAAGGUGGCACCUUUACGGGUGUGUUAUAGUCUCCUGUCGAAUGCGAGGGGUGGGAUUGAGGAACUCAGCGCGCACCUCAGUGUCGGGGCUUCGGCCCACGUCACGCGCUUAGGAUGCUGGCGUAAUGGCUUUAAACGACC